Molecule: ribosomal RNA, 429 nt
Filed under: Gemmatimonadota bacterium
Lineage: Bacteria; Pseudomonadati; Gemmatimonadota
Description: Gemmatimonadetes bacterium partial 16S ribosomal RNA
Rfam family: Bacterial small subunit ribosomal RNA
Source: RNAcentral
UAGGGAAUCUUCGGCAAUGGACGAAAGUCUGACCGAGCAACGCCGCGUGAGUGAAGAAGGUUUUCGGAUCGUAAAACUCUGUUGUUAGAGAAGAACAAGGACGUUAGUAACUGAACGUCCCCUGACGGUAUCUAACCAGAAAGCCACGGCUAACUACGUGCCAGCAGCCGCGGUAAUACGUAGGUGGCAAGCGUUGUCCGGAUUUAUUGGGCGUAAAGCGAGCGCAGGCGGUUUCUUAAGUCUGAUGUGAAAGCCCCCGGCUCAACCGGGGAGGGUCAUUGGAAACUUGGAGACUUGAGUGCAGGAGAGGAGAGUGGAAUUCCAUGUGUAGCGGUGAAAUGCGUAGAUAUAUGGAGGAACACCAGUGGCGAAGGCGGCUCUCUGGUCUGUAACUGACGCUGAGGCUCGAAAGCGUGGGGAGCAAACAGG